AUUGAACGCUGGCGGCAGGCCUAAUACAUGCAAGUCGAACGAGUGGCGGACGGGCGAAUAAUGUCGGAGCAACUGCUUGAUGGAGGGGUAUAACUACUGGAAACGGUAGCUAAUGGCGCAUACCAUCAGAUGUGCCCCCAGGGGAUUAGCUUGUUGGUGGGGUAACGGCUCACCAAGGCGACGAGCCCUAGCUGGGCUGAGAGGCUGACCAGCCACACUGGAACUGAGACACGGUCCAGACUCCUACGGGAGGCAGCAGUGGGGAAUAUUGCACAAUGGGCGCAAGCCUGAUGCAGCCAUGCCGCGUGUGUGAAGAAUGCCUUCGGGUUGUAAAGUACUUUCAGCGGGGAGGCGUUACCCGCAGAGGAAGCACCGGCUAACUCCGUGCCAGCAGCCGCGGUAAUAC
RNAcentral lists this ribosomal RNA (406 nucleotides) under uncultured bacterium. Its description in RNAcentral is "partial 16S ribosomal RNA". It matches the Rfam family "Bacterial small subunit ribosomal RNA", at positions 30 to 526 of the family's 1533-position model. The record is from RNAcentral.